GAGAGAGAGAGAGAGAGAGAGAGAGAAGCGUGGCGCCAAAACGAAAAAUAACCGACCGACUUGUGGUUAUUCUCCGCGAUCGGAAGAUACGUGUCCGCUCCCCCCCUUCGUCAAGCCGGCGGCCCAUGAUAUUCACCGCCGACCGUCGAGCGUCCCGACGAGUCCAUCCCUCCGAGGCCACACCCUUCCUUUCCAGCGGUCGUGAUCUUUUAAACAAAGCCAAUCAGGUGAUUGCUAUGCCGGAUUUCUAAUCCGACCGUUGGAUCGAUGUAGUUUCACUCUCAGACCGUGGACUGAUUGGGCCA
Molecule: long non-coding RNA, 305 nt
Filed under: Elaeis guineensis (African oil palm)
Lineage: Eukaryota; Viridiplantae; Streptophyta; Magnoliopsida; Arecales; Arecaceae
Description: long non-coding RNA (EGUI_LNC076688)
Source: RNAcentral